GUGGGGAAUAUUGGACAAUGGGGGGAACCCUGAUCCAGCCAUGCCGCGUGUGUGAAGAAGGCCUUAUGGUUGUAAAGCACUUUAAGCGAGGAGGAGGCUACCGAGAUUAAUACUCUUGGAUAGUGGACGUUACUCGCAGAAUAAGCACCGGCUAACUAUGUGCCAGCAGCCGCGGUAAUACAGAGGGUGCAAGCGUUAAUCGGAUUUACUGGGCGUAAAGCGCGCGUAGGUGGACAAUUAAGUCAAAUGUGAAAUCCCCGAGCUUAACGUGGGAAUUGCAUUCGAUACUGGUUGGCUAGAGUAUGGGAGAGGAUGGUAGAAUUCCAGGUGUAGCGGUGAAAUGCGUAGAGAUCUGGAGGAAUACCGAUGGCGAAGGCAGCCAUCUGGCCUAAUACUGACGCUGAGGUGCGAAAGCAUGGGGAGCAAACAGGAUUAGAUACCCUGGUAGUCC
This 451-nucleotide ribosomal RNA is filed under the name uncultured bacterium. RNAcentral's name for it is "partial 16S ribosomal RNA". It matches the Rfam family "Bacterial small subunit ribosomal RNA", at positions 354 to 796 of the family's 1533-position model. The record is from RNAcentral.